This 285-nucleotide ribosomal RNA is filed under the name uncultured bacterium. RNAcentral's name for it is "partial 16S ribosomal RNA". It matches the Rfam family "Bacterial small subunit ribosomal RNA", at positions 209 to 507 of the family's 1533-position model. The record is from RNAcentral.
CUUUUGGCGGUGGUGGAUGGGCCCGCGGCCUAUCAGCUUGUUGGUAGGUAAUGGCCUACCAAGGCGACGACGGGUAGCCGGCCUGAGAGGGUGACCGGCCACACUGGGACUGAGAUACGGCCCAGACUCCUACGGGAGGCAGCAGUGGGGAAUAUUGCACAAUGGGCGCAAGCCUGAUGCAGCGACGCCGCGUGAGGGAUGACGGCCUUCGGGUUGUAAACCUCUUUCAAUAGGGACGAAGCGCAAGUGACGGUACCUAUAGAAGAAGGACCGGCCAACUACGUG